AUCCCUAACCGGUAUCAUUGCCCAAAAUGUUAACUACCAAAACAACUUCACAAGGAGCCAGAUAGUGUUGUGCACGAGGAGACAGGCCGCGACCACGACUAGUUCUGUACGGGGGAUUUUGGGCUAGAGCCCUGACGCUCGAAUUUAAAGUUAUCACCCAUCUUUUGCAGUACGGUUUUGGAAGCAUAUAAACGUCGACUACCUGUGCUAAUUAGCAAACGUUUGCUAUCGGAGUCUCCGAUCACCCGAGUUUAAACGCAAGACGGACGUCACAAACGUGUUGUCACAAAUACUGUCAACAUUGUACAUUACGUGUAUAUGCUGCAUUUGUGAAACUGUGAUAUCAAAACAGAGAAAGGGGACAGGAAUUGCCAGAAGAGAGAGAGAAAUGGACAAAGUUAAAAGGUGAGAAAGUUACCCCUCUGAAAAGUCGUCAACAGACUCGGGUUCGGAGAUGAUGCUACCCUUGUCGGAGCCUGUGGUGGAGGCCUGUGUAUUAUGUGUGACGGGCAGGUGCUUGGACGGCUGUCUCUGCACGGUGGAGGUGAGGCCUGGAGUGGCCAGGUUGUUGUGGAUGCCGCUGUGGAUGUUGAGUGAGAAAGUUAGAGGCAUAUAUAUCAUACGCCCCCCAAAAUGCUAACCUCCCC
This is a long non-coding RNA of Oncorhynchus gorbuscha (pink salmon), 647 nucleotides long. RefSeq lists it as uncharacterized. Lineage: Eukaryota; Metazoa; Chordata; Actinopteri; Salmoniformes; Salmonidae. The record is from RefSeq and is a predicted model, not a curated record. The transcript has 3 exons.